RNAcentral lists this ribosomal RNA (467 nucleotides) under uncultured bacterium. Its description in RNAcentral is "partial 16S ribosomal RNA". It matches the Rfam family "Bacterial small subunit ribosomal RNA", at positions 28 to 507 of the family's 1533-position model. The record is from RNAcentral.
GACGAACGCUGGCGGCGUGCUUAACACAUGCCAGUCGAACGGAAAGGCCUCUUUCGGGGGGUACUCGAGUGGCGAACGGGUGAGUAACACGUGAGUAACCUGCCCUUGACUUUGGGAUAACUUCAGGAAACUGGGGCUAAUACCGGAUAGGAGCUCCUGCUGCAUGGUGGGGGUUGGAAAGUUUCGGCGGUUGGGGAUGGACUCGCGGCUUAUCAGCUUGUUGGUGGGGUAGUGGCUUACCAAGGCUUUGACGGGUAGCCGGCCUGAGAGGGUGACCGGCCACAUUGGGACUGAGAUACGGCCCAGGCUCCUACGGGAGGCAGCAGUGGGGAAUAUUGCACAAUGGGUGGAAGCCUGAUGCAGCAACGCCGUGUGCGGGAUGACGGCCUUCGGGUUGUAAACCGCUUUCGCUCAUGACGAAGCUUUGUGUGACGGUAGUGGGUAAAGAAGCACCGGCUAACUACGUG